RNAcentral lists this ribosomal RNA (253 nucleotides) under uncultured bacterium. RNAcentral describes it as "partial 16S ribosomal RNA". It matches the Rfam family "Bacterial small subunit ribosomal RNA", at positions 524 to 776 of the family's 1533-position model. The record is from RNAcentral.
UACGUAGGUGGCAAGCGUUGUCCGGAUUUAUUGGGUUUAAAGGGUGCGUAGGCGGCCUUAUAAGUCAGUGCUGAAAUAUCCCGGCUUAACCGGGAGGGUGGCAUUGAUACUGUAGGACUUGAGUAAAGUUGAGGUUGGCGGAAUUGACGGUGUAGCGGUGAAAUGCUUAGAUAUCGUCAAGAACACCGAUAGUGAAGACAGCUAACUAAGCUUUAACUGACGCUGAGGCACGAAAGUGUGGGGAUCAAACAGG